Molecule: long non-coding RNA, 329 nt
Filed under: Homo sapiens (human)
Lineage: Eukaryota; Metazoa; Chordata; Mammalia; Primates; Hominidae
Description: HSALNT0237404
Source: RNAcentral
CCCAGACCUGUUGUCAUUCACAUUUACAUUGGAAAAACAUGUAAGUCCUACUGAAGAGGAUGCAAGCACUGGCAACAUAGGGAGAGAGAUACCUCUGUGGGAUCCAGGAGCAUGUAAGCCUGGGGCUGAAACAGCACCCAAGAAAGAGACUGAACCACGGACAAUGGCUGUUGUAAGAAAUAUCCGACCAGGGGAAUGAGCAGAAAGAGAAUGCCAGGUCAUGGAAGCUAACAUGAGAAUAAGAGAUAUGCUGCUGAUUGGAUAAGUCAAAAUACUCAGAGCUGAUGAAAACGCAUAAGGUUAGAGGUAUCAAGAGGCUUUGCAUUAUG